Molecule: microRNA precursor, 173 nt
Filed under: Oryza glumipatula
Lineage: Eukaryota; Viridiplantae; Streptophyta; Magnoliopsida; Poales; Poaceae
Description: MIR812 microRNA precursor family
Rfam family: MIR812 microRNA precursor family
Source: Rfam by way of RNAcentral
CCUCCGUCCCAUAAUAAGCGCAGUUCUAUCCGUCUUAUUUGAAAUAUUUUUAUGAUUAGUAUUUUUAUUGUUAUUAGAUGAUAAAAUAUGAAUAGUACUUUAUGCGUGACUUAACUUUUCAAAUAAGAUGGACAGUCAAACGUUGGGCACGGAAACUUAUGGCUGCACUUAUA